This 254-nucleotide ribosomal RNA is filed under the name uncultured bacterium. RNAcentral's name for it is "partial 16S ribosomal RNA". It matches the Rfam family "Bacterial small subunit ribosomal RNA", at positions 524 to 776 of the family's 1533-position model. The record is from RNAcentral.
UACGAAGGGGGGCUAGCGUUGCUCGAAAUCACUGGGCGUAAAGGGCGCGUAGGCGGCCAUUCAAGUCGGGGGUGAAAGCCUGUGGCUCAACCACAGAAUUGCCUUCGAUACUGUUUGGCUUGAGUAUGGUAGAGGUCAGUGGAACUGCGAGUGUAGAGGUGAAAUUCGUAGAUAUUCGCAAGAACACCAGUGGCGAAGGCGGCUGACUGGACCAUUACUGACGCUGAGGCGCGAAAGCGUGGGGAGCAAACAGG